GGUGGCUGAGGACCAACUCCACAUGUCAAGACGUUGGCUUGGUCAUGAACACAGAAAGGAGCAGCCCCUAGUGUACAUAUUUUUGAUGGUUGGAGGAAACUAGUGUGCCCUGAGGAAACCCAUGCACACACAGGGAGAACAUGCAAACUCCACACAGAAAUGAACUAGCCAUGGAAUCGAACCUCAGACUUUCCUGCUCUGAGGCAAGAGUGCUAUCCACUGAUCCACCGUGCUGCCUGCACUUCACUUUUUCCACAUUUUGUUAUGUUAC
Molecule: long non-coding RNA, 271 nt
Organism: Thalassophryne amazonica
Lineage: Eukaryota; Metazoa; Chordata; Actinopteri; Batrachoidiformes; Batrachoididae
Exons: 3
Source: RefSeq, a predicted model, not a curated record